Molecule: long non-coding RNA, 96 nt
Organism: Gopherus evgoodei (Goodes thornscrub tortoise)
Lineage: Eukaryota; Metazoa; Chordata; Testudines; Testudinidae
Exons: 3
Source: RefSeq, a predicted model, not a curated record
GUACAAACAAUAUUUGGAAAGAUAAUUAAGUGGUCCACUGAGGCCCCAAGUGAUUUUCAAGUGGUCUGUGGGAAAAUAAAAAAGUUUGAGAACCAC